This 254-nucleotide ribosomal RNA is filed under the name uncultured bacterium. Its description in RNAcentral is "partial 16S ribosomal RNA". It matches the Rfam family "Bacterial small subunit ribosomal RNA", at positions 524 to 776 of the family's 1533-position model. The record is from RNAcentral.
UACGUAGGGGGCGAGCGUUGUCCGAAGUUACUGGGCGUAAAGCGCGCGUAGGCGGGGGGUUAAGGGAGAGGUGAAAGGCUGGGGCUCAACCCCAUGCAGUGCCUCUCAUACUGGCCUUCUUGAGGGCGGUAGGGAGAAGUGGAAUGGCUGGUGUAGCGGUGAAAUGCGUAGAUAUCAGUCGGAACACCGGUGGCGAAGGCGGCUUCUUGGGCCGUUCCUGACGCUGAGGCGCGAAAGCUGGGGGGGCGAACGGG